Molecule: ribosomal RNA, 313 nt
Filed under: uncultured bacterium
Lineage: Bacteria
Description: bacterial SSU rRNA
Rfam family: Bacterial small subunit ribosomal RNA
Source: RNAcentral
AACGAACGCUGGCGGCAUGCCUAACACAUGCAAGUCGAACGAGAAAACUACCUUCGGGUGGUGAGUAGAGUGGCGCACGGGUGAGUAACGCGUGGGUAAUUUACCUUUUGGUGGGGGAUAACAGUUCGAAAGGACUGCUAAUACCGCAUAAGUUUGUCUGCUCUUCGGGGCGGAUGAGGAAAGGGGCUCCGGUCCCGCCGAUAGAUGAGCCCGCGUCCUAUUAGCUUGUUGGUGGGGUAAUGGCCUACCAAGGCAUCGAUAGGUAGCUGGUCUGAGAGGAUGAUCAGCCACCUGGAACUGAAACACGGUCCAG